This 439-nucleotide ribosomal RNA is filed under the name uncultured bacterium. RNAcentral's name for it is "partial 16S ribosomal RNA". It matches the Rfam family "Bacterial small subunit ribosomal RNA", at positions 338 to 795 of the family's 1533-position model. The record is from RNAcentral.
CCUACGGGGGGCAGCAGUGGGGGAUAUUGCACAAUGGAGGAAACUCUGAUGCAGCGACGCCGCGUGAGGGAAGACGGUCUUCGGAUUGUAAACCUCUGUCUUUGGGGAAGAAAAUGACGGUACCCAAAGAGGAAGCUCCGGCAAAUUACGUUCCAGCAGCCGCGGCAAUACGUGGGCAGCGAGCGUUGUCCGGAAUUACGGGGUGAAAGGGGAGAGUAGGCGGGUGAGAAAGUUGAAUGUUAAAUCUACCGGCUUAACUGGUAGCUGCGUUCAAAACUUCUUGUCUUGAGGGAAGUAGAGGCAGGCGGAAUUCCUGGUGUAGCGGUGAAAUGCGUAGAUAUUAGGAGGAAAACCAGUGGCGAAGGCGGCCUGCUGAGCUUUAACUGACGCUGAGGCUCGAAAGCGUGGGGAGCAAACAGGAUUAGAUACCCGUGUAGUC